RNAcentral lists this ribosomal RNA (465 nucleotides) under uncultured bacterium. RNAcentral describes it as "partial 16S ribosomal RNA". It matches the Rfam family "Bacterial small subunit ribosomal RNA", at positions 338 to 795 of the family's 1533-position model. The record is from RNAcentral.
CCUACGGGAGGCAGCAGUGGGGAAUAUUGCGCAAUGGGCGAAAGCCUGACGCAGCGACGCCGCGUGAGGGAUGAAGGUCUUCGGAUCGUAAACCCCUGUCAGCAGGGAAGAAAGGUCACUGUGCUAAUCAGCAGUGAAUUGACGGUACCUGCAAAGGAAGCACCGGCUCACUCCGUGCCAGCAGCCGCGGUAAGACGGAGGGUGCGAGCGUUAAUCGGAAUUACUGGGCGUAAAGGGCUCGUAGGCGGUAUGUCAAGUCAAGGGUGAAAUCCCCGCGCUCAACGUGGGAACUGCCUUUGAAGCUGGCAAACUGGAGUGGGUGAGAGGAUAGUGGAAUUCCAGGUGUAGGAGUGAAAUCCGUAGAUAUCUGGCGGAACAUCAGUGGUGAAGGCGACUAUCUGGCACAUAACUGACGCUGAGGAGCGAAAGCGUGGGUAGCAAACAGGAUUAGAUACCCCUGUAGUC